UUGAAAGGGAAACGAUUGAAGUCAGUCAUACCAACGGGAAAUCAACCUUUUGAGCUUGGUCUCGUGGGUUUUGAAGAGUUUCAAAGCCUUCGGAUUCGCGGGAUUGGGAUCUCUUGGUGUACUUUUUCGUACGGUUAGUCAACAUCGGUUUUGAAUGUCAUAAAAUGACUGGAGGAAUGUAGCUUCGAUCUCGUAUUGAAGUGUUAUAGCCUUUGGUAGAUGUGAUGUUUGAGACCGAGGAUUGCAACGGAUACCCUUCAGGGCUAUUCGUCUGAUCUCUGAUACGUUGCCUUGAUGUUGAAAGCUUACUUAUGAUGUUAGGGUAUUACGGUCAAAAGGUUAGAACGAAUUACAUUCGUUAAGGAUGUUGACGUAA
This 376-nucleotide ribosomal RNA is filed under the name uncultured Glomeromycotina. Its description in RNAcentral is "eukaryotic LSU rRNA". Lineage: Eukaryota; Fungi; Glomeromycota. The record is from RNAcentral.